GCUCCCUAAAAAUCACUUAUACAAAGAAGUUUUUCGAUCGCGCUCACUAACUCACUAAGAAGAAGUAUCGUUCUCCUCUGUGACCCUGCUUUGGAAACCUAACAUCCACUGCGCGCCUCCUCCGCACGCCUCCUCCUCAUUGGUUCUUUCCUGCAACCCUAGCCUCCAUCGCACACUCCUCUUCUGCAUUGGCACUCCCUUGAACCCUAGCCUCCACUAACUCGUGCCUCCUAUGCAUUUUCCCGCUCCUGCAACCCUGGCCUCCAACGCAUUGGCCCUCCCCAAAACCCUAGCCUCCACGACAUGCUCUUCCUCUACAUUGGCCUUCCCAUGGAAGCACCUCCACUCACACUCACUGAAGUUGGAGUCUCUUGAAGCAUUGAAGAAAACGUUUAAGAAGCUAGACCAUGAUGUAAAUAUACAAGAAUUUUUUGGCACAAGGGUAUUGUUAUUGCAUUCAAGUCUAGAGCUACCAUAGUUGAUAGCACGGUUGGGAAUUUAUGUGCUGUAGUAGAAGGUGGACCGUUGGUGGAAAUGCACUCAUCGUAAUUAUUGAUGUUAAGAAACUUUAGAUAUUAUUAAUAUGUUAGAAAAUGUUAUUCAGACAUUAUGAAUGCUUUUGUAUAUAGAUAGUUGUAUUUUAUAAUGUUUAGAUUUUUGACCAUGUUAAACUUAUGU
Vigna unguiculata (cowpea) is the source of this 678-nucleotide long non-coding RNA. RefSeq lists it as uncharacterized. The record is from RefSeq and is a predicted model, not a curated record. Lineage: Eukaryota; Viridiplantae; Streptophyta; Magnoliopsida; Fabales; Fabaceae.